AUCCCACUAUUGAAGCAUAUGGGAUUCUACUUAUAUGCUCUUUUUCUUAAGGAGUUGUCGGAUAAUCUUUCUUAGAGAGAAUAAUUCUAUGAUCUAUCAGUACGAUAUCUAUAUACGUGAAUAGAGCAAUCCAAGCAGCCUCUUGGAUCUAUUCCCAUAGAUCUAUAUUUUCAGGAUAAUGGAUGCUUUUUCUAAAUCCUUCAUGAAGAAUUGUGAUGAUAGCCACAGUCUUAUACUGUAUAAAAUAGGAAUGUGAUUUUUCAUUAGCAGUAUGUUAUCCACAUAC
This 286-nucleotide long non-coding RNA is filed under the name Elaeis guineensis (African oil palm). RNAcentral describes it as "long non-coding RNA (EGUI_LNC001414)". The record is from RNAcentral. Lineage: Eukaryota; Viridiplantae; Streptophyta; Magnoliopsida; Arecales; Arecaceae.